This 302-nucleotide ribosomal RNA is filed under the name uncultured bacterium. RNAcentral's name for it is "partial 16S ribosomal RNA". It matches the Rfam family "Bacterial small subunit ribosomal RNA", at positions 508 to 807 of the family's 1533-position model. The record is from RNAcentral.
GCAGUAGCCACGGGAAUACGAAGGGUGCAAGCGUUACUCGGAAUUACUGGGCGUAAAGCGUGCGUAGGUGGUGGUUUAAGUCCGUUGUGAAAGCCCUGGGCUCAACCUGGGAAUUGCAGUGGAUACUGGGUCACUAGAGUGUGGUAGAGGAUAGUGGAAUUUCCGGUGUAGCAGUGAAAUGCGUAGAGAUCUGGAGGAAUACCGGUGGCGAAGGCGGCCCCCUGGACAAAGACUGACGCUCAGGUGCGAAAGCGUGGAGAGCAAACAGGAUUAGAUACCCCUGUAGUCCCUGUCUCUUAUAC